UAACCUUUGACCUGAGUCAGGUGAGGUUAGUUCAGCUAAUGAAUCCAGUCACACUGGCUUCUACCCAUAAGCCCGCUAGGCUGGUCUCUCUGAGUGUGGACUACAUGGUCACGCUCAGAAGUUUCCCCGUUGGUGAAAGACAUCCUCCAGGAAUGCACAUGGUGUCUUAUCUUCCAAUGAGCUGCAUCUGA
RNAcentral lists this long non-coding RNA (191 nucleotides) under Capra hircus (goat). Its description in RNAcentral is "lncRNA (ENSCHIG00000007861.1)". Lineage: Eukaryota; Metazoa; Chordata; Mammalia; Artiodactyla; Bovidae. The record is from RNAcentral.